RNAcentral lists this ribosomal RNA (376 nucleotides) under uncultured bacterium. RNAcentral's name for it is "bacterial SSU rRNA". It matches the Rfam family "Bacterial small subunit ribosomal RNA", at positions 524 to 898 of the family's 1533-position model. The record is from RNAcentral.
UACGAACCGCACGAACGUUAUUCGGAAUCACUGGGCUUAAAGGGUGCGUAGGCGGUCUAGUAAGUUGGGUGUGAAAUCCCUCGGCUCAACCGAGGAAUUGCGCUCAAUACUGCUAGACUUGAGGGAGAUAGAGGUAAGCGGAACUCAGGGUGGAGCGGUGAAAUGUGUUGAUAUCCUGGGGAACACCAGUUGCGAAAGCGGCUUACUGGGUCUCUUCUGACGCUGAGGCACGAAAGCUAGGGUAGCGAACGGGAUUAGAUACCCCGGUAGUCCUAGCUGUAAACGUUGAGCACUUGGUUGACGUGCACUCCAUAGCAUGUCAGCCGUAGCGAAAGUGGUAAGUGCUCCGCCUGGGGAGUAUGGUCGCAAGGCUGAA